Pelobates cultripes (western spadefoot toad) is the source of this 935-nucleotide non-coding RNA. The record is from the annotation of a GenBank genome assembly. Lineage: Eukaryota; Metazoa; Chordata; Amphibia; Anura; Pelobatidae.
CUUGAUGUCUGUGGGUAGGAUCUUACAUGGUGAAUAUGGGAGUUUCUUCAGCAGACACUUUUCUGUCCACUUCCCUUAGUGCACUUACAACUUUUUGAACAACUUAGUCAGCCAGAGAGCUGCCACAUGCUUCCUCUGAGUUCAGUCUUCCUUCAGAGAUCUUGCAUGGUGUGAUGGGAGUCUAUAGCUCAGCUUCUUGUGCAGACAUUGUUGAGGUGAGAUACUUGGUCCACUGUAGUGACAGCAAAUCCGGAACAGAACAUAAGAAAAAGGCUAAAAAAAAAAAUAAUAGUCAGUGUCUUAUCAUUUCCCCCCUUGGGAAGUGGCAGAAGAGUGGCCAGGUAAAUAGAGUAUCAUCCCUGCAGGGUGACAUUAUCCUGCACAGAAUUCGUCCAUCACAAGGAGAGGUGGGAUAUUGCAUGGAAAGUCUCAGGUAACCAGGGCAACAUUCGACACCAGAGCCUUAACCUGUUAGGGAAUAGUAAGAGCUUGGACAGGCUUUGGGGCCUGUAUAAUUCAGGUAAAGGUAUUGGGGGAACUAGCUAGGACCCUUGCCUCUUGGUCAGGUUUCACUGUGUGGAACAAAAUAAAUAAUAAGGUGAUAGGGGCCUGCAAGUGGGGGAAGGACAUCUGCACCUAGCAGAUUAAUUGGACAGGUGAAGGUAUCCACAAAGCAAGGCUUAGUUAACAGGCUACUCCAAGGAGAGCCAUCUACACUUAUGCAGGAGACAACAAUGUUAGACAGGAAUGAGGAGUCAGGCAGGCCUUGCUUGGUACAAAUAGAUGUCAUGUGGCCUGCUAUACAAGGCUGCAUAUAGUUAUUGGGCAUGGGCCUUACUAUGUACUAAAACUUAAGUUAAAAGAAAAUUUGGGACAACCUGAAGUGAUGCUUCUCCACAGAUGCUAACUCAUCGUUGAUGACAUUGUUAAUACAG